Dipodomys ordii (Ord's kangaroo rat) is the source of this 340-nucleotide long non-coding RNA. RefSeq lists it as uncharacterized. Lineage: Eukaryota; Metazoa; Chordata; Mammalia; Rodentia; Heteromyidae. The record is from RefSeq and is a predicted model, not a curated record. The transcript has 2 exons.
UAUGAAAUGCUCUAUAAUGUCUUAUACAAAGACAAUUUUAUUAGUGAAAAGUUCACAAGGUUCUUGUAUACAAAGUUAUCUGUUUACAAAUGUGGAAAAGUUAAUAUUUAAAACAUUUCCAUACAGUACAUGAUAUUUUUAAACUUUAACUGAGUGUUAAAUAGACAAAAAAUCUGAAAAUUUUGUUCAAGAAAUAAUACUUAAUGAGAAAGAAAACUAACUUUAAAGUACAAAAUACAUUUUGCUUAUUAGGACUAAAUUUUCCCCAUUUUGAUUGGCACUAAUAUUGUUAAUACAUUUUUGAAUGUUCAAUUACAGAAAUAAAUUCUGUAUAAUGUCU